AGUCCUUCGCCGUCCCUCGCCGUCCUUCGCCAUCGCACGCCACCGCACCCCAUCUCUCGAAAUCUGCAGACAUCUUGAUUUUUCCCACGCUGUCUGUCAGGUCUCCGCCGCCACUCGACGCCAGGGCGCCGGGCCUUGUGGGCUGUGCUGCACCUCGGACGGCUUCGCACCAGCCAGCGCCCUCUCUCUCCUGCAGCACUCUGAUCUGCACCCCCUGAGGGGCUUCCACUGUCCGCGGGGUGAGAAUGCCCCUGGGAGUGUCACAUGACUGCCGCCCCAUGUGUGUGAGAGGCGUCCUCUGGGAGAGCAUGGAUCCUGAGGUCCCAGGAACAUCCCGAGAGCCAAGUUCCCAGAUGCCAGCCAAGGGCCAUCUGACCUGUUUUGAAUCUCAAUUUCCUGAUACAGAAAACAAAGGAUUGUCAGCUGACCUCUGUCCUGUGUGCCCAGUGGCCCCAGGUGACGUGUCUUCAAGAAGAGGCUGAGCUGCGGUGCUUGUAAGGUCUCAGCCUUAGAUCCAAGGACAGUCCAAGGAAGUCCUAAGACCAUGGAGUUGGUGAUCUGGGAUCUGGGUUUGCUGAUAUUUCUCACCGUGAAUCUCUUGGUGGUGUUUGUGGGCACGAGAGGGGCAGAGAAUGGAGAGUGAGGCUACCACAUGAAGCGUCACCAGAGCUGCUCCCUGCUGCCUGCUCAGAGCACCCCGGAUCCACUGUUCAAUCUGCACAAGAUUCGGGGUCCAGACAUGGGAGACUUCAGCUGCCUCAGAGGACCGUGGACAGGGAAGGCCAGCCUCGCAUCCCUCUGUCCAUGCCUGGAAUGACUUUAAUAACCAAGAGUUUUAUUUUUGAAUUUGUAGCUGUCGUUCACUUUUUACCCACCCAUUCAAUAAACCUUACAGAAUUGCUCCA
This 905-nucleotide long non-coding RNA is filed under the name Homo sapiens (human). RNAcentral describes it as "small nucleolar RNA host gene 17, transcript variant 7 (SNHG17)". Lineage: Eukaryota; Metazoa; Chordata; Mammalia; Primates; Hominidae. The record is from RNAcentral.